This 447-nucleotide ribosomal RNA is filed under the name uncultured bacterium. RNAcentral's name for it is "bacterial SSU rRNA". It matches the Rfam family "Bacterial small subunit ribosomal RNA", at positions 355 to 796 of the family's 1533-position model. The record is from RNAcentral.
UCGAGAAUCUUCGGCAAUGGGCGCAAGCCUGACCGAGCGAUGCCGCGUGCGGGAUGAAGGCCUUCGGGUUGUAAACCGCUGUCAGAGGGGAUGAAAUACGGUGGGGGUACUCCCCCAUGUUUGACAGAUCCUCAGAGGAAGGACGGGCUAAGUUCGUGCCAGCAGCCGCGGUAAGACGAACCGUCCAAACGUUAUUCGGAUUUACUGGGCUUAAAGGGUGCGUAGGCGGCCCUGCAAGUUGGGUGUGAAAUACCUCGGCUCAACCGAGGAACAGCGCUCAAAACUGCCGGGCUGGAGGAAGAUAGAGGUGAGCGGAACUUAAGGUGGAGCGGUGAAAUGCGUUGAUAUCUUAAGGAACACCUGUGGCGAAAGCGGCUCACUGGAUCUUUUCUGACGCUGAGGCACGAAAGCUAGGGUAGCGAACGGGAUUAGAUACCCCCGUAGUCC